GUGAGUCAUCGAAUCUUUGAACGCACAUUGCACCUUCUGGCAUUCCAGAGGGUAUGCCUGUUCGAGCGUCAUUACAACUCUCAAGCACUGCUUGGUAUUGGGUGUCACCAUUCUGGUGCAUUUCAAAAGUAUUGGCAGUAGCAUUCAGCUUCUAGUGUAGUAAAUCUCUUGCUUUGGAGUUGAGUGUCUAAUUGCUAGAAACCCCAUCAAAAGUUGACCUCGGAUCAGGUAGGGAUACCCGCUGAACUUAAGCAUAUCAAUAAGCGGAGGA
Molecule: unclassified non-coding RNA, 271 nt
Filed under: Helotiales sp.
Lineage: Eukaryota; Fungi; Ascomycota; Leotiomycetes; Helotiales
Description: partial contains 5.8S ribosomal RNA, internal transcribed spacer 2, and large subunit ribosomal RNA
Rfam family: 5.8S ribosomal RNA (bases 1-71)
Source: RNAcentral